This 478-nucleotide ribosomal RNA is filed under the name uncultured bacterium. RNAcentral describes it as "partial 16S ribosomal RNA". It matches the Rfam family "Bacterial small subunit ribosomal RNA", at positions 28 to 523 of the family's 1533-position model. The record is from RNAcentral.
GACGAACGCUGGCGGCGUGCUUAACACAUGCAAGUCGAACGGUAAGGCCCUUCGGGGUACACGAGUGGCGAACGGGUGAGUAACACGUGGGUGCUCUGCCCUGCACUUCCGGAUAAGCCUGGGAAACUGGGUCUAAUACCGGAUAGGACUCCGGACUGCAUGGUCUGGGGUGGACAGCGUUUGCGGUGCGGGAUGGGCCGGCGGCCUAUCAGCGUGUUGGUGGAGUGAUGGCCUACCAAGGCGACGACGGGUAGCCAGCCUGGGAGGGUGAGCGGGCACACUGGGACUGAGAUAGGGACCAGUAUCCUACGGGAGGCAGCAGUGGAGAAUAUUGCGCAAUGGGCGCAAGCCUGAUGCGGCGACGCCGCGUGAGGGAUGACGGCCUGCGGGUUGUAAACCUCUUUCAGAAUCGACGAGGCGAAAGUGACGGUAGGUGCAGAGGAAGGACCGGCCAACUACGUGCCAGCCGCCGCAGUAA